This 405-nucleotide ribosomal RNA is filed under the name uncultured bacterium. RNAcentral describes it as "bacterial SSU rRNA". It matches the Rfam family "Bacterial small subunit ribosomal RNA", at positions 356 to 773 of the family's 1533-position model. The record is from RNAcentral.
GGGGAAUAUUGCACAAUGGGCGAAAGCCUGAUGCAGCGACGCCGCGUGAGGGAUGAAGGCCUUCGGGUUGUAAACCUCUUUCAGCAGGGACGAAGCGAAAGUGACGGUACCUGCAGAAGAAGCACCGGCCAACUACGUGCCAGCAGCCGCGGUAAUACGUAGGGUGCAAGCGUUGUCCGGAAUUAUUGGGCGUAAAGAGCUCGUAGGCGGUCUGUCGCGUCAGCUGUGAAAACCUGGGGCUCAACCCCGGGCCUGCAGCCGAUACGGGCAGACUAGAAUUCGGUAGGGGAGACUGGAAUUCCUGGUGUAGCGGUGAAAUGCGCAGAUAUCAGGAGGAACACCGGUGGCGAAGGCGGGUCUCUGGGCCGAUAUUGACGCUGAGGAGCGAAAGCGUGGGGAGCAAAC